GCCCAGGUGGUGAAAUUGGUAGACACGCUGUCUUCAGGCGGCAGUGCUGCAAGGCGUGCUGGUUCGAGUCCAGUCCUGGGCA
RNAcentral lists this transfer RNA (82 nucleotides) under Cryomorphaceae bacterium. RNAcentral describes it as "tRNA-Leu". It matches the Rfam family "tRNA". Rfam says of the family: Transfer RNA (tRNA) molecules are approximately 80 nucleotides in length. The record is from RNAcentral. Lineage: Bacteria; Pseudomonadati; Bacteroidota; Flavobacteriia; Flavobacteriales; Cryomorphaceae.